UAGCCUUGACUCGAGACUGAGCGUGGGCGUCACAGUCGGGGAGCCUUCGUUUUUUAUCGUAUCUUCUGUCCCUUGCCUCGCAUCUUUCCCUUUGUCUCACCUAAACUGCUGCGCGUUAAAGUCACGGUCCGAUAUUUAAGUCCUCCACAUGCUAUUUAGUUCUCCAUCCGCUCUUUACUAAGAUUCAUAGCAACUACCGUGGAUCCUCGUAUAAUGUGGAUUCGUACAAAAUCGCGACCAUAUUCACAGAACGUGAUAAAAGCAACUGUUCGACGUAUUUUUUACAGUUCCAUGUGUAGAUGCGAGUCAAAGAACGAGGAUCCACAGAAAUUGCAGAUUUCUUCGCUAUAAACUCAUCUUCGACGAUAACGCGAAAUUCCACGCGUAUGCGUUCUUCGGAACCUUUUUCCGCCAGUUGCGAGUAUCUUUUUAACUCUCCUCAAUGUUUGCAGACGCCAUCUGAGCUUCUGAGACCGUAUAACGGGUGUAAAUUAGUACGGGGUACUGGAGAAAUCAUUUGGUCGAUUUGUGUGCCAGGUGGAGCUUGCUUCUUACUUGGUGUAGGAUUGUCAAUGAUUUGACGCACGAGGUUUUUAUCUGC
RNAcentral lists this unclassified non-coding RNA (601 nucleotides) under Bombus terrestris (buff-tailed bumblebee). Its description in RNAcentral is "misc RNA ENSBTSG00005028467.1". Lineage: Eukaryota; Metazoa; Arthropoda; Insecta; Hymenoptera; Apidae. The record is from RNAcentral.